GACGAACGCUGGCGGCGUGCUUAACACAUGCAAGUCGAACGGUGAAGCGCCUUCCUUUUUGGUGGGUGUGGAUGAGUGGCGAACGGGUGAGUAACACGUGAGUAACCUGCCCCCUUCUUCUGGAUAACCGCAUGAAAGUGUGGCUAAUACGGGAUAUUCUGGGUCUGUCGCAUGAUGGGUCUGGGAAAGAUAUUGUUUCGGUGGGGGAUGGGCUCGCGGCCUAUCAGCUUGUUGGUGGGGUGAUGGCCUACCAAGGCGGUGACGGGUAGCCGGCCUGAGAGGGUGGACGGUCACACGGGGACGGAGACACGGCCCAGACUCCUACGGGAGGCAGCGGUGGGAAUAUUGCACAAUGGGCGCAAGCCUGAUGCAGCGACGCCGCGUGAGGGAUGGAGGCCUUCGGGUUGCGAACCUCUUUCGCCAGUGAAGCAGGCCUGCCUCGUUUGUGGGUGGGUUGACGGUAGCUGGAUAAGAAGCGCCGGCUAACUACGUG
Molecule: ribosomal RNA, 493 nt
Filed under: uncultured bacterium
Lineage: Bacteria
Description: partial 16S ribosomal RNA
Rfam family: Bacterial small subunit ribosomal RNA
Source: RNAcentral